RNAcentral lists this long non-coding RNA (199 nucleotides) under Amborella trichopoda. RNAcentral's name for it is "long non-coding RNA (ATRI_LNC002864)". Lineage: Eukaryota; Viridiplantae; Streptophyta; Magnoliopsida; Amborellales; Amborellaceae. The record is from RNAcentral.
CCAUUAAAAAGGCCCUUUCAAUGUAUUCGGAUCUGGGAAUAUUGGUAGGAGGAAUGGAUUUUGACUGGGCUGGUGAAAAUGUAGGAGUUGAAGUUCGUGCUUCUGGGUAAGUGAUUUGAUGGAUUGGGGAUUGAGAUGGUGAGCGGAUAUUCAAGGGUGAAGAUUCCCCUUCAUAAGGAACUAAAGAAUGCAUGGGUUG